CCCGUUCACACCUGAAGGUCCUAUUAGUUAUUAAGUUCAAAAUGUAUCGCUUUUAACUGGUCUGUAAGCAGCCGAUGUGACUCAGACAAAGCUGUAAUGUGGACAGAGGCAUCACUUGGAGCUAAAAUUUGGCCUUUCUGCAGAGGAUCCUGUUUUCCAGGGUUCACACAAGUUCCUAGGAGCCCAGGAUUCAGCGUUUGGGGAUCGUUCUGUGGGACCAGCUGGGUUUGGGUCCGCUUGGCUUCAGCAGAGCAGCAGGUAUAAACCUGAAACUCUUCUGGAGGAUUUGUCAGCACCAUCCUCCAGCAAAGCUGAUGGCUUUUCCUGCCAGGAGAGAGACUCCUGAGGCCCUGCUGGGAGAAUGACAGCUCUGGCCUGCUGUUCACUUUAGGCAUUGGAGGAGCAGAGCUUGGACAUUUCAGCCGUGCAUGGAACACCUUUUGUCUCGGGUUUCAAAACAGCCUCUGGAGUAUAAAACUCCUCACCCAGCUGACAAACAAACUGAUUUAUUCUGUUUGCUCUGCACUCUUUGCCAUCUGUCCUCCUAAUCUUACAUCUUGAGGGAACAAGAUGGAAUUGACAGUGUUGAAUGCAGCUGUGGAAAGGACAAAACUCCUGCUUUUGAGACAUCCACCUCCGACUGUGCAGGUGUGACAAUAAAUUGUGUGAGGAGCAGAAAGUGUCCCAGCACAGCAUCACCAGGGCCCUGCAAUUACUCACUGGGGCUCCCAACAAAACCAUUUGCUGAUGAAAUUGUUUCUUUGAGUCUCCAAACUGAAGGGUGACUUGUAUUUAAGGUGUGAUUUCAGCAGCGCAUUUGCAUAGAGAUGCUCUAAAAUUAGUUCAGUUGCCUAAAAGGCUGUUUUGUAAUAGCAAAGAUAUUGUUUGUAGCAUUUAAAAUUAAUAUAGAAAAUAAUAUGCCCCAUGUAUUUUUGUCUUUUCCUAUUUUAAUUUUGAGACCCAAAUGCAGACUUACAUCAGUGAGCAGUGAGUGAUGAUUUAGUAGCACUUUGUGUUUUACACAAGUUAAAGUGAGCAACUAGCAGGUUGUUCAGGAGCAAAAUCUUAAUUUAAAUCCUUAUUUUAAAAAACCUCACUUAAUUGCACCUCCACAGAAUUCUGGAAAACCAUCUUCUACGUGCAGAUACACAGUUUUAUGUAUAUUAUUUAAGAUAUUCACCAUCCAUUCAGAUUUUCAGCUCAUUUUUUUGGAGAUGAGGCUUUCUGAAGUACAAAUCUUAUUACUCUUAGGGGAUAGCAGCAGGAAAACCUGUCUGUGUCUGCAUUUUGGAAAAGGGAUGUAGUGGUUCUACCUGCACCUGCUGAACACGAGCUAAAGUUAUGCUGUUUCCAAAAGGAAAAAAAAAAGCAUUAUAAAUGAACGAAUCUUAGCAGAAGAUAUCAGACAUAAUCCUCCACUCUUUGUGGUAGAGCAUUAGGAGGAAAAUAAUUUCCAGAUUUAGGCACCAUAAUUUGGGAAAAAUAUGGACCACGUGAAGAGUAUCUAAAAAAAAAAAGGGAAAAAAUCUGUAAAAAAAUAUUGAACUUGGGUUGCUUUUCUUGCAAACAAGACCAGGGUGGCUUUACAAACCUUCAGAAAGAAGGAAGAGAAUUUAUCCUCUGUGUCUAUUCACCCAUAAAAAUAAAUUUAUUAACUACAAAGCUAGACAUCAGAAAACCAUUCUUACUGUGAGGGGAUAUUUGUAAUAGAUUGUGAGUUUCAGCUGAGGAAAAGAUGAGACAAACAUCAGGUUGGAGUGGGGAGGGGAAUAGCUGGAAGAUUGUUUGAGAUCCCUUCCAGCCCUGUUGUUCUAAUUUUAUGAUUUAUUUUUUUAAUAACUGCUGUAAGCACUCUUGUACAAUGAGUUAGAAAAAGUCAUUUUAUAAAGUUGUAACUUCAGUUACUGAAAAAUCAUUCCUUAUUCCAAGUAAACAUGUCAUCUUCA
Long non-coding RNA from Passer domesticus (house sparrow), 1946 nucleotides. RefSeq lists it as uncharacterized. Lineage: Eukaryota; Metazoa; Chordata; Aves; Passeriformes; Passeridae. The transcript is spliced from 3 exons. The record is from RefSeq and is a predicted model, not a curated record.